This is a long non-coding RNA of Fukomys damarensis (Damara mole-rat), 130 nucleotides long. RefSeq lists it as uncharacterized. Lineage: Eukaryota; Metazoa; Chordata; Mammalia; Rodentia; Bathyergidae. The record is from RefSeq and is a predicted model, not a curated record. The transcript has 3 exons.
GAUUAGAGGACCACUCACACUAGUUGGCAUAACAAAAUUUAAGUGAAAUCAUCUUUAAUGCAGAAUCUAAAGAUGUUUCUAAUGCAUCUAGCACAGGAAUUUUCAGAUUCUCAACCCAGACAAAGAGGAG